Molecule: ribosomal RNA, 160 nt
Filed under: uncultured bacterium
Lineage: Bacteria
Description: partial 16S ribosomal RNA
Rfam family: Bacterial small subunit ribosomal RNA
Source: RNAcentral
UAGGGAAUCUUGGACAAUGGGCGCAAGCCUGAUCCAGCCAUGCCGCGUGCAGGAAGACUGCCCUAUGGGUUGUAAACUGCUUUUAUACAGGAAGAAACACUGCUACGUGUAGCAGCUUGACGGUACUGUAAGAAUAAGGACCGGCUAACUCCGUGCCAGC